Long non-coding RNA from Parus major (Great Tit), 3648 nucleotides. RefSeq lists it as uncharacterized. Lineage: Eukaryota; Metazoa; Chordata; Aves; Passeriformes; Paridae. The transcript has 3 exons. The record is from RefSeq and is a predicted model, not a curated record.
GCGGGAGCGGUGCGGGAGCGGUGCGGAGAAAAGGUGACUCGGCCGCAUUUCCAGCAUUAAAAUUUAAUGCGAGUUGCAGCAUCCUCCUGCGCCGUAGGUAGGGCCGGGGGGGCCGGGGGCUGCUGGAGGAGGAGUUUGCUUGGCUGCCUCUUCCUCAGGGAUGCUGUGGGAAAGCUCCAGCACAAAGGAGCGGCGCGGCGAGCAGGAGGGAGCGGAACCGGCGCCCCCCAGGCCCAGCCCGGCCCCCCGGGAGCAGAAUCCUCAUCAAGAAUAGGGCUCCUGCCAGGUAAAUGGAUUCUUGCCUGAUUCAAUGCUCCUGGGAGGAUUUGCAGCCAAAAUACUGUUUUAUUGCUUUGUCUCGAAGCCCCCAUUUUCUCCGCAAGCUGAUGAUCCUAGGCGGGGGUUAGAGGCGAGGCUGGAGCCAGCAGCCCCAGGGCACAGCACAGCCCUUCCUUCUCACAGUUAACCUGGCAGAUGCUCUUCUUGCGGAGCCAUUUUCUCUCCCUCAUUGUCUCGCAGCCUUUUGUGUGUGCGGGUAGGUCCUGCCCGGGGAGCCAGGAGGAGCCCAGAAAUAAUCAGAUUUCCAAGCUCUGUGGGCUUGCAAGGACCCUUUCACACCCUCACAUCCCCUUCUGCCGGGCUACCCAGCCCCAGAGCUGCAGACAAAGGCAGCAGCGCCUGGCACCACUGCAGCAGCACCGGAGCCUGGGCUGUGCCAGAGCCUGGGCUCUGCUGGAUGGCAGCGAGGGUCGGGCAGCGCUGGCAGGACACAGGGCCGGGGUGUCCGGCCACCCCGCUGGGAUCUGGGGGCUCAGGAUGCUCGGAUGCCACAUCCCAGAGAUGGCAUCUCUCGCGGCAGUGCCGUGCCUGCUGGGCCCUCAUCUCCCUGCUCCUGCCUGCAGUGGAGCUUCUGCUCCUCUCUCUCCCUCCCUCCUCACUCGAGAAGGGGGUUUGGCCCCCAUUUAAUUCGGGUGUCCAGCCCCCCAUGGCCACCCACGCGUGUGGCAAGGGCAGCUCAAGCUCGCACUCAAGACGAGGGUUUUGGUGAGUCCUGUCUGCACAAAAUUGUUUUCCCCUCCAGCCUGUCUCCUGGGCUGUGCUUCCUUCCCAGGCCAGAGAGGCAAUCCUGCCUCACCACAGGCACCUCCCGCUCGGAUCCAGGCAGGGCAUCCACUGCCAGAUGUUCAGUGGCACCUCCGCUCUCAUUCCCGCUGCUCAGCCCCACCGCAGCUGGGCUGCAAACGCUGCCUGGACGCGCUGUCCCCACGGGAGGGACUGUCCUGCCGGCGUGCGGUGACAAUGAGCCGUGGGAAGCAGGAGUGGCUCCGCAGCUCAGCUGCAGAGUCAUCACUGCCCCGUUCCCCCGGGACCUGCUGCCGUCCUGGUUUGCCCAGGCGGGCAGGGCAGGGCAGGGCAGGGCACAGACACGGGCUGGCUGCUGGCACCGGCCACGUGUCCCCAAAUCCCCGGGGACAUGGAGCAGCACGCACUGUGACCGCCAGCCGCCCCAGUUUAACCAGUGGAGCCGCAGGGUCCCAGUGACUCAGCCUGGGCACGCAGUGAGGGCAGCAGAAGCGGCAGUGCCAAUCAGUCCCUGCCUCCAGUGAGGGGGUUCCAGCAGCAGGCAGGGACAGUUUGGGGCACUGCCACCAUUUCUGCUGGGGUGGUUCUGAUGCCCCCCCUGUGCCCGGUUCAGCUCCUGCUCUCUGCAAGGGGACAGGGACAGGAAUGUCCGUGCCCAGCCCUCCUGCCAGGCUCCUGCCAGCUUGGCUGGGCUGUGCCUGAGGCCGGCGCCCUGUUUCUCCCCCUUGCUGCGUUGGUUGUUUCUUUUGCAGCUGCUAAUGACUGACCUGAGGUCUGUUCACACAGUCCCCUCGCUGCCUCCACUGCACAGAGUCACAUGGAACAGGGGACAUUGCACAGCACUCCCCUAGCUGGCGACCACAGUGCCACCACCCCAGGGGCAUGGCCCCAGCUCCUGCCUGGCCACACUGACCAUGUCCAGAGGGGAGCCGGGCUCAGGAGCUGCCAUCACGACCAGCACAUGAUGCCAGAGCCAGGCUGGCCCCAGCAGAGCACCCCGGUACCCACUGCCAGGGCGUGGAGCCACGAGCCCGGCCACAGCGGGGGACACAGCCCAGGAGACUGCGGUGGUGACACCUGAGGACACGGGGCUGCGCAUGCACGCGGUUCUCCUGCAAGGUGCUGGGGUGUCCUUGCCUCCCUCUGCUCCCCCCAGGCCUGUCCCCUUCCCUGAGGCAGUGCAGGAGGAGGGAGAAGAAAAAGGGAGUGGGGGCAGAGCUGUGCCAGCUCCUCAUGGUGACACAAUGGCCAGAGCCCAAAGGGACUCUGUCCCCACUGAUCCUGCCCUUCCCUCUGGCUGUUGGUGAUGUCCUGGUGCUCUCUGCUCUGGAGGUGCCAAGUCUUGGCAAGACCCUGCUUCUGCUCCCCUUGGAGAAACACCUGGUUUGUGGAGCACCCUGGAGGAAUGUGGGCAGUGAAUCCUCCUCCUGUGGCCUCUGCAGUGGCCCCAUAAGCAGCUGGGACCUUGUCCUUGCCAAGGGACACACUUGGGCCUGUGUCCCCACACAGGCAGAAGGGCGGGGGGUGCCGUGAGCUGGGGGCUGUGGACAAACACAGCUCAUGGCAGGUGUUACAGCCUUGAAGUCCAGACUGGAAAAGCAUCCUCAUGGGGACCAGAGGAGCUCGUGCUGUGGGAGGAGGUGACCCAAAGGGACACGGGGCAGAGGCUUUCUGGGUGCCCCGUCCCAGCCCUGUUUCUUGGGGCACAGUGUUCCUGCAGCCCUCAGAGCACUGCUCAGCCCCAUGGAGAGGCAGCUCCCGAUGGGAGGGGGUAAGCUGUGGGCCACCUUUCCUCUGCUCCAUGGUGGUUUUCCCUGCUGGACCUACACCUGCACAUGCAGUGGGAGCUUGGGGCAGACCUGGAGCAGCUGUUGUGGUCUCUGCUGGAGCCCUGCUCUUGCAGAGCUGCCUGGAGCCUUAUCCCAGACACUGCCAGUGAUUCCUUCACUCCCUCCUUCUCUGCUUCUUCCAGCUCCUUUAGAGACCUUCAGGCACUGCUGGGACUGUCCUCCACACAUCCUGCCUCUCACCUUUCCCAGGCUCAGGGGUGGGAAGUUCCUGUUGUGAGGGGACACUCACUGCUGGGCCCUUUGGUGCCUCCCUGGCCAGGAUCAGAGGGGCAGAUGCCUGCUGAGAAUUUCAUUCAGAGACAGGUUCUGUUACCCUGGCUGAACCCUCCACUAACACCUUCCCCAACGCCAAAGCCCAAAAACGCCUCCUGCUCUUGUGAGCCAGAGCCCUGCUGCUGAUGGGCCCAGCUCUGCAUGCUGCCAGUAUUAACCUACUAACCUGCUGGGACCCCUGUGCCCUCCCCAGGGCUGCCACAGCCCCUGGCACACGGACUAACCCACUAACCAGCCCAGCGCAUGCCCUACUAACCCACAGCGGCCCUGCCUCGCGCCCACUAACCACGGCAGCAGCACUGCCUUGAAAGGGGAACAGAAAAGCUGGAAAAGGCCUUUGGGAGUGCCAGGUGUCGGUGCCAGGCUGCACAGGCAGGGACAGAUGGGGGCAUCCCCAGCCCUGGGCAGCAGAGGGGACCAGCAGCCCCUGCCCUGGGCAGCA